GUCAGUGUCGUCUAGUGGUUUAGGGACGCGAGCUUCACACGCUCGAGAUCGAGGGUUCGAUCCCCCUCCCUCUGAUA
RNAcentral lists this transfer RNA (77 nucleotides) under Phytophthora infestans T30-4. RNAcentral's name for it is "tRNA-Val for anticodon UAC". It matches the Rfam family "tRNA". From Rfam's summary of the family: Transfer RNA (tRNA) molecules are approximately 80 nucleotides in length. Their secondary structure includes four short double-helical elements and three loops (D, anti-codon, and T loops). Lineage: Eukaryota; Oomycota; Peronosporomycetes; Peronosporales; Peronosporaceae. The record is from RNAcentral.